Arthromyces matolae is the source of this 86-nucleotide non-coding RNA. NCBI's taxonomy places the organism in Eukaryota, Fungi, Basidiomycota, Agaricomycetes, Agaricales, Lyophyllaceae. The record is from the annotation of a GenBank genome assembly.
GGGUCGAUGGCGUAGUUGGUUAUCGCAUCUGUCUCACAUCAUCAAGUGCGCACAGGAGGUCCUCAGUUCGAGCCUGGGUCGACUCA